GAUGAACGCUGGCGGCGUGCCUAAUACAUGCAAGUCGAGCGAACGGACGAGAAUCUUGCUUCUCUGAUGUUAUCGGCGGACGUGUGAGUAACACGUGUAUAACCUACCUAUAAGACUUGGAUAACUUCGUGAAACCGGAGCUAAUACCGUAUGAUAUUUUGAACCGCAUGGUUCAAAAGUGAAAGACGGUCUUUCUGUCACUUAUAGAUUGUUCCGCGCUGCAUUAGCUAGUUGGUAAGGUAACGGCUUACCAAGGCAACGAUGCAUAGCCGACGUGAGAGGGGGAUCGGACACACGGGAACGGAGACACGGACCAGACUCCUACGGGAGGAAGCAGGAGGGAAUAUUACGCAAUGGGCGAAAGCAUGACGGAGCAAAGCCGCGUGAGUGAUGAAGGUCUUCGGAUCGUAAAACUCUGUUAUUAGGGAAGAAAAUAUGUGAAAGAAACUGUGCACAUAUUGACGGUAACUAAUAAGAAAGCCACGGCUAACUACGUG
Molecule: ribosomal RNA, 497 nt
Filed under: uncultured bacterium
Lineage: Bacteria
Description: partial 16S ribosomal RNA
Rfam family: Bacterial small subunit ribosomal RNA
Source: RNAcentral